RNAcentral lists this long non-coding RNA (3078 nucleotides) under Gallus gallus (chicken). Lineage: Eukaryota; Metazoa; Chordata; Aves; Galliformes; Phasianidae. The record is from RNAcentral.
GGCUCCGCGAGGCCUUCCCGACCCCCCGCGGCCCCGCGGUCCCCGGGCCCCCUCCCGGGGCGGCGCGGCCCAGCGCGGGGCGGCGGGGCCGGGGGUGCUGGCGGCCGGCGGGGGCCCCCGCGUUGCUGCGGCUGCGCCGGGGCUGGAGGAGCUGGAGAUUGCGCGGAUACCAUCUGUGCCUGGUAGAAACCUCUUCUAUGGAAUAAAGCUGUAAAUGGCCUCCAAGGGCAGGCAUUUAUGACCACACUGCAUCCAUCAGAAGAUGGAAGAAUAUGGGAAGUGUGGUAAGAAGAACUGCAGAGCCAGCCGAGUCAAUUGGCAUGCGUGUCAGUCACGUCAGAAGCUUUAAACCAACGAUGCCUCUCUUUAUCAAGCUCUCUUAUGAAGCAAGGACAGGAAACUACCAGAAUCCUCAAAAGCAAAUGACACAGAAAAGGAGUUUUCUCCAUAGUGCCAUUUACAACAAGAAGACGGUUUGAACUCCCGAAUUCACUGAAUGCCUCCAGAAAACCACCAGUAACUGGGUAACACACUAGGAUGCAACGAGAACACCCCAGCAUCUGGAAUGGAAAGCUUCAAUACCUGCAAGCGUCGUGAUACCCAGACAGCACAUCUGAGAGAGCAACCACUGUUCCUGUGUCAGUUCAGGACACAUCCUCUCUUGUCCUGCUGCAUCCUUCCAGUCGGUGUGCUGGAAGAAUCUGGGAGAGAUGCACAGACUCACUUGACAUACUGCUUCACCAAGGGCUGCCUUAAACUGACACGGAGGAAAUGGAGCGAAGCGACUCUGAUCUGUAACAUAAAUCUUGUGGUUUCCAGCCAGGAUGUUCGGACUAACAGUGAUUACUGUAAGAGGAGACUUGGUUGGGGGGCUCAUCGUCGCCUCUAACUUAAUACAGCAUCACUGCCAGCAUCUCAGCUAGAUCUCCAGGAUCUGACUACAGCCAAAAGAGAACUGGCAGUAUGUUCACUGGGGCUUCAAGUACCACUUAUCUGUCCAAAUGUAGAAUGAGGUGAAUCACCCAGAUACACAGACUGCAUUGCACAGCUCUUCUGACCCAGAAAGGGAGCACCAGGUGACUCUCAGAGCUGCUGUAGAAGUAUUUGACACUGAUGAUCUCAGUGUGGUAUCUGCUAUCUGAGCUCAAGUUUUCCCCAGCACUGGUUGAAAGAACUGGAGGCACACCCACACCGGGGAGCACAUUCCAUCUGCGUAAGAACAGCAGUGGUAUGGGUAAAAUAAACCCCACCACAGCUCCCUCAGACUGCUGAGACUUAAUGUUUUAUUCCGCACAGAACUAAGUUCUAAGUGCCACAGCUGAAAUUACGACAGCACUAGUGCAACUUGCCAUUCGUCACUGUAAGCUUGAGCUAUAAGAAGAGUGUCUUUGUGUGGACACUACAGUGAUUACGGCAAAAUAUUUGAGCUAACCACUGGAGAUAUUGUAUGAGUCUCAAGUUCAAAAAAGCCUCUUCUUAUCAGGGGGAGCUCGGCUUUCAUCGCGUCCUUUGCUUUCCAGCCAGCUACUUUCGUCUCUUCCCCUUCUUUUUGGGGGAGCCAGGCCAAGGAAAGCCCCGCAACUCCAGGCAGGCGGGGACAUUAUGGCAGAUGUAAUGGGCGUUGAGCAUGGCAGCUGGGCUGAGGAUAUCCACAUCCUUCACCACCUUCUUCGUUUUCUUUUUGGAGCUUUUUCCUUUGCCACGCUUGGGUUUGCUGCUUUUACCUGCCUGCAGAGAGAAAAUGACCAUGAAAACACCUAAUUAGCCCUUUAUCUGUAUUGUCUGCCUUCUGGGCUGAGGAUCCCAAGACAUCCUGGAACAGUUUCACGGCAUCACAGUCCGGGCUGUAUUAGAAUCAUAGAAUGGGACCAUCAGCUCAGAGCUCCUCACCACAGACAAAAUCUAUAUUUGCUCUGUAAGAAUCUUUAGAGACAUCAGACAAGACUGCUUAACGUUCUGCUGUGCCUCUGUCUGGCUAAAAUAGGUCGGUGCAUAAUGGAAAUCCCACGGUCUUUUCAAUUGAUUUUUUAAUUAAUGCAUUAUGAUACACUCCUAAAGUCAAUUGACCAUAUGCUGGGUUUUCAUCCGAUACCGUGUACCUUUUUUUUUGUCACUUCCCACCUCUGCCCACCUAUUUCUGUUAUUUGCCUGGUUUUGCACACCAUUAAUUAAACAGUUCUGUGCAAAUUAGAAAUAUUAAGGACAGGCGCAAAGGCCAUAUGUAACUAUCAGCUGGGAACAAACCAGCUGAAGGCAGCACGUGAAGCAUAUUUUUCCAUGGAAUGAGAGCACAGUCGGGAUGCAGCCUUCAGUCACCCAAGGGCACAACGUGGAGGUGUACAUACAGGGAUAAAAGAAAAACAAAAGGUCACGAGGUCCAUAUAAAGCACACAGAACCACUGCCCACAAGAGGAAAGAGAAGACAAACAGAAAACAGCGUGAGCUGCAGAUGAUGGCGGUAGUGUUUCCUAUUCAGUCAUUGCAGACUGCAGGCUUCAACACAGACAUGCAUCAGAGAGGGCCGUGAGCCUUUCACAGACCUUAACUGGCUUGAAUUUGUUGAAAACUGCAUGCCCUGGGAUGUGUUUGCUUCACAGAGUGGAUGCUUACAGCAGAUUAUGAGACAGCCUCCCAACUGCACUCCCUGUUUGUGUAAUCCCAGCGGGGCCACUGGCAGACUGUGUGAGCACCAUUACAUUCCUGGUCAGAAUUUGUUCCAUAGCUGAUCUUUCAGAAUAACAAAGAUGCUUACAGCUAAGGGCAAGCUGCUGUAGUGAGUCUGCAGUGAGAAACAGGGAAUGUUUUUGGUUUAGAGCUGACCCACUGCUCCUGCUGUCUCUCUGCAGCGAAUACCUCCGACCUCUGGGGCUUUGAAUGUCAGCAGUCGGUUUUUGUCAGCAACUCUCUUCUCUUCUCUUUUCUGUCUCUUAUUGAAUGUGACAUCACUAGGCUGCAGCCUGCAGUCUGCUCACGCAGUCCAGCACAGCCUGGAGCUUCUUCCCAGAAAACAAAUGCUUGUGGGAAGCCAACAAACUCCUCCAGCACAGCACCACAAAUACUGUCAGGAGUCACACCUCG